RNAcentral lists this ribosomal RNA (253 nucleotides) under uncultured bacterium. RNAcentral's name for it is "partial 16S ribosomal RNA". It matches the Rfam family "Archaeal small subunit ribosomal RNA", at positions 474 to 727 of the family's 1478-position model. The record is from RNAcentral.
UACCAGCACCCCGAGUGGUCGGUACGAUUAUUGGGCCUAAAGCAUCCGUAGCCGGUUCUACAAGUCUUCCGUUAAAUCCACCUGCUUAACAGAUGGGCUGCGGAGGAUACUAUGGAGCUAGGAGGCGGGAGAGGCAAGCGGUACUUAGUGGGUAGGGGUAAAAUCCGUUGAUCCAUUGAAGACCACCAGUGGCGAAGGCGGCUUGCCAGAACGCACUCGACGGUGAGGGAUGAAAGCUGGGGGAGCAAACCGG